CAAGUGAGCUGGGCGGCCGCGGGCGGGCUUCGGCCCGCACGAGGAAAGUCCGAGCUCCAUAGAGCAGGGCGCUGGGUAACACCCAGUCGGGGUGACCCGCAAGACAGUGCCACAGAAACAUACCGCCGCCCUAUGAGUGUCUAGUGUUUAGUGAUGAGUGUUUAGUUGUUUAGGCGAACUAAACACUCAUCACUAAACACUAGACACUCAUAAAAGGCGGUAAGGGUGAAAUGGCGGGGUAAGAGCCCACCGGCGUCCGGGUGACCGGCCGGCCGCGGUAAACCUCACCUGGAGCAAGACCGAACAGGGGCCGCGCCGGCGUUGCCUGGCAGCGCCGGCUCAGGGGUUGCUCGCCCUGUCCCGGGUUGGUCGCUUGAGACGGCGGGUAACCGCCGGCCUAGAUGGAUGGUCGCCCCCCGGAGGAGCCCCAUACUCCGGGGACAGAACUCGGCUUAUAGGCUCGCUUGGAUC
RNAcentral lists this RNase P RNA (471 nucleotides) under Chloroflexota bacterium. Its description in RNAcentral is "RNase P RNA component class A". It matches the Rfam family "Bacterial RNase P class A". From Rfam's summary of the family: Ribonuclease P (RNase P) is a ubiquitous endoribonuclease, found in archaea, bacteria and eukarya as well as chloroplasts and mitochondria. Its best characterised activity is the generation of mature 5'-ends of tRNAs by cleaving the 5'-leader elements of precursor-tRNAs. Lineage: Bacteria; Bacillati; Chloroflexota. The record is from RNAcentral.